GCACCCGUAGCUCAGCUGGAUAGAGCGUCGCCCUCCGAAGACGAAGGCCACACGUUCGAAUCGUGUCGGCUGCGCCA
Molecule: transfer RNA, 77 nt
Filed under: Bradyrhizobium sp. Leo114
Lineage: Bacteria; Pseudomonadati; Pseudomonadota; Alphaproteobacteria; Hyphomicrobiales; Nitrobacteraceae
Also listed under: 2 other names
Description: tRNA-Arg
Rfam family: tRNA
About the family: Transfer RNA (tRNA) molecules are approximately 80 nucleotides in length. Their secondary structure includes four short double-helical elements and three loops (D, anti-codon, and T loops).
Source: RNAcentral